Delphinapterus leucas (beluga whale) is the source of this 1106-nucleotide long non-coding RNA. RefSeq lists it as uncharacterized. The record is from RefSeq and is a predicted model, not a curated record. NCBI's taxonomy places the organism in Eukaryota, Metazoa, Chordata, Mammalia, Artiodactyla, Monodontidae.
UGCUAGGGGCGCUCGGAACGGUAGGUGUGUGGUGAGAGUUCACGUUUUAGAGACGUUGUGAAGCCAUCCCAAGAUUGGCAACUGGGGAACUUGUAUGGAGAGUCGGUCUGUCUGAACCCUGGUUUGAUAGGUCCCUCGCCGACUCCCGCAAUCCCCGCCAGAGCACGUUGGCCCCAGUCUCUCCUCGCUCUUCACCUGCCCGGCCUUUGGCGGGACUCCUCGCUUUUCCGGCUCCGGCGCGGACUUCCUCCAGGUGCUGUGUGACGGCCUCCAGGACUCGACCUGGGAGGUGAUGAGGUGCGCUCCGGUGCGUCUGAGCGGGCGCCGGGGGCGAGUCCAGUCGCUUCAGCGCACCUCUCUCAUGGCUCGUUUGUUGAGAAAAGUUGCCUUCAGACUUGGACCGAAGCAUCAGCUCUUCUUGGAUCUUGAGCCUGCCAACUUUCAGACUGGAACUUAUACCAUCGGUGUCCUGGUUCUCAGGCUUUUGAACUCAGACUGGAACUAAACAUUGGUUCUCCUAAGUCAUCAGCUUGCGGACUGCAGAUCUUGGGACUUCUCAGCCUCUCUAAUCAUAUAAUGAGGAUCUUCAAGAAUGUCUUCGAACUGCAGGUUAAACAGGCUCAAAGAAAUCCCACCCCUAUUGUUCCAGACUAAGCCCAUCCCCUGGGGCUUAAUCAAGGCAGAGAAGCUGCCAGAGUGAGGAGGCCAAACCUGUGGGAAGGUGGCAUGGAAUAAGAAUGACAACUAAGAAGCUGUACUAAGAGUUCAGGUGAGAGCAGGUGAGAGAUUGAAUUAAUGCAGAGGCAGAUGGGACAGCAGGGAGAGAGAGCUUGAGGAAACAUCUCUAACAUAGCUGGAGACUGAGUUCAAUCAUGUGACCAAUGAUCCAAUCAGUCAUGCCUUCCCAGUGAAAUCCCAAUAAAGUAUCUUGAUGCUGAGGUUCAGAGGAGUCCCUGGUUGGUGAACACGGAUGUGCUGGGAAGGUGACAUGUCCUGGCUCCCCAGGGAGAAGAUAUGGGAGCUCCAUGUUGAAGACCCUCCCAGACCUCACCCUAUGUGUCCCUUCAUUUGGCUGGCCCUGGUUGUAUCCUUUAAAUAAAACUGUA